GAUGAACGCUAGCGGCAGGCUUAACACAUGCAAGUCGAGGGGCAGCGCGGGAUAGCAAUAUCCUGGCGGCGACCGGCGGAAGGGUGCGUAACGCGUGAGCGACAUGCCCGUUGCCCGGGGACAACCGGUGGAAACGCCGACUAAUCCCCGAUGGGAUAUUGUGCCGCAUGGCACGAUAUUGAAAGUUACGGCGGCGACGGAUUGGCUCGCGUCCGAUUAGCUUGUUGGCGGGGUAACGGCCCACCAAGGCCGCGAUCGGUAGGGGUUCUGAGAGGAAGGCCCCCCACAAUGGGACUGAGACACGGCCCAUACUCCUACGGGAGGCAGCAGUGAGGAAUAUUGGUCAAUGGGCGGAAGCCUGAACCAGCCAUGCCGCGUGCGGGAAGGAGGCCCUAUGGGCUGUGAACCGCUUUUGCCUGGGGGCAAUAAGGGCGUCGCGCACGUCCGAUGAGAGUACCAGGCGAAUAAGCAUCGGCUAACUCCGUG
This 486-nucleotide ribosomal RNA is filed under the name uncultured bacterium. RNAcentral's name for it is "partial 16S ribosomal RNA". It matches the Rfam family "Bacterial small subunit ribosomal RNA", at positions 28 to 507 of the family's 1533-position model. The record is from RNAcentral.